This is a long non-coding RNA of Orbicella faveolata, 418 nucleotides long. RefSeq lists it as uncharacterized. The record is from RefSeq and is a predicted model, not a curated record. Lineage: Eukaryota; Metazoa; Cnidaria; Anthozoa; Scleractinia; Merulinidae.
UCCUGAUUAACUAGCGUUGGUUGAGCUGGAUAUACAGGGUGUUCAUCAGUUAUGGACAAAAGCACGUGUGUACUGCUCCUUUCUCUUUUGUUUGUAACCUGCUGCAUCUUGCCUAAAACAGACGCAGUUCACAACCCGGCUUACAAUAAGGGCAGGCCAAAUGGAAAGCGAUCCGCUAUCUCGAUGUGGAAACGGGAAAGAAACAUCCGGGACAUCUGUGCCGCAAUGAACGACGCUUGUAAAAGAGGAACAGAAGGAUUGGAAGCCACGCUUGAAAUUUAAAAGAAACUAAUUAGACCAGGAGCAAACUUAAAGAAAAAAUCAAAUGUAAAUCGCCUUGAAAUACUAUUAUAAUAUUAAAAUUACUGGAAUGUUUAUCAGAUUGUGUCAUUAAAGUUCGCAAAGUGAUACAGGAAAA